AAGAAAAGCCUUCACUGGGGUCAAGCAAGGUGCACACAGCAAGGGCUGGAAGGGAAAGGAAUACUUGAGAUGUGGAAGACAUCUCUGGUAUCUAGGAACCAAAAGGAUCAAGAAUCUGGAGCAACUAUGAGGAAAGAUGGAAAUAACCUUGCAGAGACUAACCUCUUGCACAUCUUUGGAAUGGGUAAAGCAGUGCUCACCUUUGCAUGGGAAUGUGAAGUGAGCAUUCAGCAAAGCAUGAAUGGAGGAACAGUUCUUACUCUCUGGGGUCUUCAUUUCUGCAGAAGUGUUUUCAGUUACAUGAAAAUUAAAAGGCACUAUGUUAACUAAUGUCUCCACCAGGACAGAGAAUUUAAGAGAGAAAUUAUCCUUU
This is a long non-coding RNA of Podarcis raffonei (Aeolian wall lizard), 373 nucleotides long. RefSeq lists it as uncharacterized. The record is from RefSeq and is a predicted model, not a curated record. NCBI's taxonomy places the organism in Eukaryota, Metazoa, Chordata, Lepidosauria, Squamata, Lacertidae. The transcript is spliced from 2 exons.